This 1253-nucleotide ribosomal RNA is filed under the name Globobulimina sp. Its description in RNAcentral is "bacterial LSU rRNA". It matches the Rfam family "Bacterial large subunit ribosomal RNA", at positions 841 to 2203 of the family's 2925-position model. Lineage: Eukaryota; Foraminifera; Rotaliida; Buliminidae. The record is from RNAcentral.
GGAAAUAGCUGGUUCUCCGCGAAAUCUAUUUAGGUAGAGCGUCAGACGAAUACUCCAGGGGGUAGAGCACUGGAUGGGCUAGGGGGACUCACCGUCUUACCAAACCUAACCAAACUCCGAAUACCAGGAAGUAAUAUCUGGCAGACACACUGCGGGUGCUAACGUCCGUAGUGGAGAGGGAAACAACCCUGACCGCCAGUUAAGGUCCCUAAGUCAUGGCUAAGUGGGAAAGGAUGUGAGAAUCCCAAAACAACCAGGAUGUUGGCUUAGAAGCAGCCAUCAUUUAAAGAAAGCGUAACAGCUCACUGGUCUAAAUAAGGGUCUUUGCGCCGAAAAUGUAACGGGGCUAAAACUACACACCGAAACUGCGGGUGCACACUUUGUGUGCGCGGUAGCAGAGCGUUCUGUAAGUCUGUGAAGGGAUACUCGUGAGAGAUCCUGGAGAUAUCAGAAGUGCGAAUGUUGACAUGAGUAACGAUAAAGGGAGUGAGAGACUCCCUCGCCGAAAGUCCAAGGGUUCCUGCUUAAAGUUAAUCUGAGCAGGGUUAGUCGGCUCCUAAGGCGAGGCCGAAAGGCGUAGUCGAUGGGAAUGAGGUUAAUAUUCCUCAACCUGGAGGUAGUGACGGAUCUCGUAUGUUGUCAGUCCUUAUUGGAUUGAACUGGCAGCGAAGAGGUUCCAGGAAAUAGCUCCUCCAUAUAGACCGUACCCCAAACCGACACAGGUGGACAGGUAGAGCAUACCAAGGCGUAUGAGGAAAUGACGUUGAAGGAACUCGGCAAAUUAACCCCGUAACUUCGGGAGAAGGGGUGCCUUUUUAGGGUAACCUAAAGGAGGCGACACAAAAUUGGGGGUGGCGACUGUUUAUCACAAACACAGGACUCUGCAAAGACGAAAGUCGAAGUAUAGGGUCUGACGCCUGCCCGGUGCUGGAAGGUUAAGAGGAGGUGUUCACGCAUCGAAUUGAAGCCCCAGUAAACGGCGGCCGUAACUCUAACGGUCCUAAGGUAGCGAAAUUCCUUGUCGGGUAAGUUCCGACCCGCACGAAUGGCGUAACGAUCUGGGCGCUGUCUCAACGAAGAACUCGGCGAAAUUGAACUGGCCGUGAAGAUGCGGCCUACCCGCAGCCGGACAAAAAGACCCCGUGGAGCUUUACUGCAGUUUGACGCUGGAGGCCGGAUAUGGAUGCGUAGGAUAGGUGGGAGGCUUUGAACCGUUCCUUUUGGGGGGCGGGGAGCCAAUGGUGAAAUACCAC